RNAcentral lists this long non-coding RNA (206 nucleotides) under Lathyrus oleraceus (garden pea). RNAcentral describes it as "Pisum sativum (pea) long non-coding RNA (PSAT_LNC006001)". Lineage: Eukaryota; Viridiplantae; Streptophyta; Magnoliopsida; Fabales; Fabaceae. The record is from RNAcentral.
UUUAUUAUUUUUUUUUCUUUCUUUCUUUCUUUUUUUUUUUUCCGGAUCUAAUUCUGAUUGACAUGAUGAAAUGCAAUAUGAAAUGCUAAAUGAAUGCAUGAAUGUGGAGGGCAAAUUUUGGGGUGUUACAGCUGCCUCUAUUCAAUCAUCAGCUAAACCGAGUAGCAUGAAAGCGAACAGCUUAUCAGACAAACGGGGUGAGUUGU